CAUCGAAGAUGACAAAUCCAAAGGCUUGUUUCUCAAAACAUUUGCAGUGGCCACCUGAGGGUUUUCGCCUCGCCGGGCUUGAGAGCCUUUGCUGCUCAAUCCUUUCUCAGAUGUCUAAGAUU
Elaeis guineensis (African oil palm) is the source of this 122-nucleotide small nucleolar RNA. RefSeq annotates it as small nucleolar RNA SNORD14. NCBI's taxonomy places the organism in Eukaryota, Viridiplantae, Streptophyta, Magnoliopsida, Arecales, Arecaceae. The record is from RefSeq and is a predicted model, not a curated record.